RNAcentral lists this ribosomal RNA (447 nucleotides) under uncultured bacterium. RNAcentral's name for it is "bacterial SSU rRNA". It matches the Rfam family "Bacterial small subunit ribosomal RNA", at positions 29 to 506 of the family's 1533-position model. The record is from RNAcentral.
ACGAACGCUGGCGGCAGGCCUAACACAUGCAAGUCGAACGCCCUCUUUCGGGAGGGAGUGGCGCACGGGUGAGUAACGCGUGGGAAUCUGCCCUUUGGUCUGGAAUAACCCUGGGAAACUAGGGCUAACACCGGAUAAGCCCCAUGAUCCGCAAGGGUUGAGGGGGAAAGUUUACGCCGAAGGAGGAGCCCGCGUCCGAUUAGCUAGUUGGUGAGGUAAGAGCUCACCAAGGCUUCGAUCGGUAGCUGGUCUGAGAGGACGAUCAGCCACACUGGGACUGAGACACGGCCCAGACUCCUACGGGAGGCAGCAGUGGGGAAUAUUGGACAAUGGGCGCAAGCCUGAUCCAGCCAUGCCGCGUGAGUGAUGAAGGCCUUCGGGUUGUAAAGCUCUUUUGGCGGGGACGAUGAUGACGGUACCCGCAGAAUAAGCCCCGGCAAACUUCGU